AAGAAAGAGGAGACAUUCAUCUUCACCUCUCUCUCCCACGCCUACCAAUGUCCUCACGCCCCCUCUGCGUGACGCAUGUGCGAAUGACAAACCCCCCUUCCCACUCUCCCGCACCCACGGAGAACCCAGUGGGAUGCAGAGCUGACAGGCUACUGUUAGCGCUUAAAAAGCCCAGCCAUGUGAAAGCAGAUUCAGGAGUGGAGCUAACAGCUAAACUAUCUACUUUCCUCUUCCACGCCGCCUCUCUCCAUAUGUACGGCUACAGACUAAAUAUCCCGGAGCACGUUCAGAGCGACUAAAGAUGUUCGCUUUCUCUGUUUUUCAGGUACAAGGCCGAGAAGGAGCCGGGGUUCCAUGAAUGAUGAAAGGGAUGAGCGAUCUGACUUUGGCUGCUAUGCAAGGAUCCUAUCAGCUUGUCGGGAGCCACUGAGCAGGGGAUCGAACCAGCAACCUUCUGACUGCUUGACAACCGCCUACCUCCUGAACUUCACCCCAGCAGGGCCAUUCUCCGGGGCACAGCCCCCCUCACCCACAGUCAGCUCGUAUGAUUUAUGCACCGUAAGUCACAUUGACACCACCAGAAAAUGUAUAGUUUACUUUUCAACCAUCUGUUUGCUUAGCAUAUGAUUAAUUUAAGAUUGCAGCUUGUAUAUUUUCCUCUGCAUGUUGUAAAUAGUUAUAUUUCCAUAAGCAAGAACAAGUAGCUUUGGCAACAGUAUAACAUAUUUUUUUCCCUCUGAGCCUGCCACCUUAUGGCUACAAGGUACUUCAGCACUGUGCCACUUGGCUGCACUGGAACUAGGUGCACACGUCUCCAACCACCAACAGCAAGGCUGCAAAUAACAGAGCCAACAUGACCCAGGACCAGCGCAAGGCAACAGCUACUGGCAAUGCCAGAGGCACAAGAGGAUGUCUACCACUAUGUUACUGUGUAUGUAAGCCAUUUCUGUGCCUUUGCUAAUAAUGCUCACCAAUAAAACCAUGACCAUGA
Long non-coding RNA from Conger conger (European conger), 991 nucleotides. RefSeq lists it as uncharacterized. The transcript is spliced from 2 exons. Lineage: Eukaryota; Metazoa; Chordata; Actinopteri; Anguilliformes; Congridae. The record is from RefSeq and is a predicted model, not a curated record.